AGAGUUUGAUCCUGGCUCAGGACGAACGCUGGCGGCGUGCUUAACACAUGCAAGUCGAACGGAAAGGCCCUUUCGGGGGUACUCGAGUGGCGAACGGGUGAGUAACACGUGGGUGAUCUGCCCUGCACUUUGGGAUAAGCCUGGGAAACUGGGUCUAAUACCGGAUAUACCUCAUGGACUGCAUGGUUUGUGGGGGAAAGCUUUUGCGGUGUGGGAUGGGCCCGCGGCCUAUCAGCUUGUUGGUGGGGUGAUGGCCUACCAAGGCGACGACGGGUAGCCGGCCUGAGAGGGUGACCGGCCACACUGGGACUGAGAUACGGCCCAGACUCCUACGGGAGGCAGCAGUGGGGAAUAUUGCACAAUGGGCGCAAGCCUGAUGCAGCGACGCCGCGUGAGGGAUGACGGCCUUCGGGUUGUAAACCUCUUUCAGCAGGGACGAAGCGCAAGUGACGGUACCUGUAGAAGAAGGACCGGCCAACUACGUGCCAGCAGCCGCGGUAAUACGUAGGGUCCGAGCGUUGUCCGGAAUUACUGGGCGUAAAGAGCUCGUAGGUGGUUUGUCGCGUUGUUCGUGAAAACUCACAGCUCAACUGUGGGCGUGCGGGCGAUACGGGCAGACUUGAGAACUGCAGGGGAGACUGGAAUUCCUGGUGUAGCGGUGGAAUGCGCAGAUAUCAGGAGGAACACCGGUGGCGAAGGCGGGUCUCUGGGCAGUAACUGACGCUGAGGAGCGAAAGCGUGGGGAGCGAACAGGAUUAGAUACCCUGGUAGUCC
This 774-nucleotide ribosomal RNA is filed under the name uncultured bacterium. Its description in RNAcentral is "bacterial SSU rRNA". It matches the Rfam family "Bacterial small subunit ribosomal RNA", at positions 8 to 796 of the family's 1533-position model. The record is from RNAcentral.